UCUAAAGGUAGACAUGUGCUUGACUUAGUGAUGUAUGUGUUGUACAUGAUCUGGUAUGUAUCUAUGUUUUUCUGUAUGUGAAAAACCAGGCUUAACAGGUAUGAGUUAACCCAUCUAGAGCAAGCUCUAGUCAGGAGUACAGAGUACAGAGUACAGAGUACAGAGUACAGAGUACAGAGAUAGUGCAUGCACAGGUUAAGCCUUGGUUCAGUGAAGAGUUUUUAUUUUCACAGAAAAUGUAUGAUCAUGUAUGAGUUCUACAGGUACACAGAGAGUAUAGCAGGCUUGCUACGGGUUCUGGCGGCCUUAAGCCGACCUGAAUCCUAGCGCCGGUGACGGUCCAUUUUGGGGUC
This 353-nucleotide long non-coding RNA is filed under the name Manihot esculenta (cassava). Its description in RNAcentral is "long non-coding RNA (MESC_LNC012784)". The record is from RNAcentral. Lineage: Eukaryota; Viridiplantae; Streptophyta; Magnoliopsida; Malpighiales; Euphorbiaceae.